GAUGAACGCUGGCGGCGUGCCUAAUACAUGCAAGUAGAACGCUGAAGGAAGGAGCUUGCUCUUUCCGGAUGAGUUGCGAACGGGUGAGUAACGCGUAGGUAACCUGCCUGGUAGCGGGGGAUAACUAUUGGAAACGAUAGCUAAUACCGCAUAACAGUAGAUGUUGCAUGAUAUCUACUUAAAAGGUGCAAUUGCACCACUACCAGAUGGACCUGCGUUGUAUUAGCUAGUUGGUGAGGUAACGGCUCACCAAGGCGACGAUACAUAGCCGACCUGAGAGGGUGAUCGGCCACACUGGGACGGAGACACGGCCCAGACUCCUACGGGAGGCAGCAGUAGGGAAUCUUCGGCAAUAGACGGAAGUCUGACCGAGCAACGCCGCGUGAGUGAAGAAGGUUUUCGGAUCGUAAAGCUCUGUUGUAAGAGAAGAACGAGUGUGAGAGUGGAAAGUUCACACUGUGACGGUAUCUUACCAGAAAGGGACGGCUAACUACGUG
Molecule: ribosomal RNA, 497 nt
Filed under: uncultured bacterium
Lineage: Bacteria
Description: partial 16S ribosomal RNA
Rfam family: Bacterial small subunit ribosomal RNA
Source: RNAcentral